GAUGAACGCUGGCGGCGUGCCUAAUACAUGCAAGUCGAGCGAACAGAUAAGGAGCUUGCUCCUUUGACGUUAGCGGCGGACGGGUGAGUCACACGUGGGUAACCUCCCUAUAAGACUGGGAUAACUUCGGGAAACCGGAGCUAAUACCGGAUAAUAUUUCGAACCGCAUGGUUCGAUAGUGAAAGAUGGUUUUGCUAUCACUUAUAGAUGGACCCGCGCCGUAUUAGCUAGUUGGUAGGGUAAAGGCUUACCAAGGCGACGAUACGUAGCCGACCUGAGAGGGUGAUCGGCCACACUGGAACGGAGACACGGUCCAUAGUCCUGCGGGAGGCAGCAGUAGGGAAUCUUCCGCAAUGGGCGAAAACCUGGCGGAGCAACGCCGCGUGAGUGAUAAAGGUCUUCGGAUCGGAAAACUCUGUUAUUAGGGAAGAACAUACGUGUAAGUAACUGUGCACGUCUUGACGGUAACUAGUCAGAAAGCCACGGCUAACUACGUG
Molecule: ribosomal RNA, 497 nt
Filed under: uncultured bacterium
Lineage: Bacteria
Description: partial 16S ribosomal RNA
Rfam family: Bacterial small subunit ribosomal RNA
Source: RNAcentral